Molecule: long non-coding RNA, 1293 nt
Organism: Papaver somniferum (opium poppy)
Lineage: Eukaryota; Viridiplantae; Streptophyta; Magnoliopsida; Ranunculales; Papaveraceae
Exons: 3
Source: RefSeq, a predicted model, not a curated record
UAGAAUUUCUUUUUCUUUGGUAUCUUCAGAAGAAUAGCAGAUUCAUGAGAAACACCAUUCCUCUUCUUCGUUCUUCUCAAUUAUCUUGACGCCUCGAAACCAAAAUAAAGCAGAAGAAUUGGUAUUUUUCCCCUCUCGCCAAUCAUCCAUUGUUGGUCCAUUCGGAACCAAAAUAAACCAAAAUAAAGCAGAUUAAAUCGGGGAUAAGAAAGAUGGUUCAUUCGGAAGCAAACACCAAAUCGGUAGAAUAGAAGGAAACGAACAACCCUAGAUUUCAAUUGAAGGAUAUUCAUCGAUCUCUUUUCAAUUAUCAGUUCACAUUGGGACUUUUUUAAGGUUGAUUAGUUAAUUUUUUUUGUUCCAUCUCAUUUUGAUGGAGAAGAAACUAAUUGGGUUCUGACCCAUUAGUGUAAGAUAAUGGAGGAUACAAGUGGGUUUAGAUCUGGGGUGUUUAUCGGGAAAUUGUAGAUAAAAUGAUGUUGGAGCAAGACUAUGAAGAAUAAGAAGAAUUUUGUAGCUUUUGUGAUGAGGAAGAAGAAGAGUGGACAAUAUAGGAGGAGAAGGAACAAAAAUCUAUGAUAUUAGGUAAGGAGGGGAUGUAAGAAUCAUGAAAAUGUUCUUGAAAGGUAUAUCUAUCCCUGAGGCAUGUGAUUUGGGUUCUGGGUAUUCAGCAAUAAAAUUUAUUUUUAUGUAGAGGAGCAAGUUGCUCACUACUUUCCUUUGAUUGAUGGUCUGGUGGAGGCAUUGGCACAACAAGAUUCGUCAUGUUGUUGCUUUUGCAGAUUCUGAGAUCGUUUAUGAUCAAGUUGUUUGAUGGACGCGGUCAAAUGCUGGAAAAGAUACUAUUUUUCUUGCAAAUGCUUCUUUAUUAAAGUAAACUGGAAAAUGAAUGUUAUUUGCUGUGAUUGGUGCUUUAAAGUUGGGCAUCUCAAAAAGACAUAUUGUCAAUCGGGAUCUACAAAAUGAGCUUCUUGGGGAGUCAGAAGGCUUGAUCUAUUCCAGAAAAUCAAUCGAGGACGGUGAUGUUGAGUAACCGGGGUUCUCGAUUAGAGCUGUGAGUUUUUGCACAAUAACAAGUAUAUGAUCUCAAUUUUAGUCAUAUUUGCUGUGCAUUUUUUAUAUCGGAACCAAACAAUUUUGAUGUGGUGGGUUAUAUUGUUGCUCAACAUGUGAGUUUGACAAAUUUUUCUGUACAAGGAAGUUUUCAUGUCCUGGAAAGUAUACUGUAUAAAGUGCAUCAGAGAUACAUUUUGUAUAAAUGGAUGUUUUAGACUAAAAAAAUUAUUGAGUAAA